CCUCCACUCUAUAUCUCUCAAUCUAGUAGAAACUAGAAGAUCUAUUUCUACUUACAUUGGUUGCUAAGCCUAAAAAGAAAUAUUAUUUAGAGAAGAGGUUUUCCUUCGAGGGCACCCCUCAAUCUCUAUGAUAACUUCUUGUCUUCUCUAGGGGCCAGGAGGUCUCCUUAUAUAGUCCUCCUCCUCUAUACAUUUUUGGGUCGGUAGGCGAGGUGGUACUACGUUAUCUUUGAUCCAUUAGGUCGGUGGAACAUCGUGUGCGAAGAGAGUCCCGAACGGAGUACAGGAGGGGGUGGGCGCCCAGGUCCUCAGUGCGGGCGCCCUGGGCCUGGCCCCUUUCGGCCUCUGCCUUCUUCCCGUGGCUUCUGGAGUCUUCUAGAUGGUAGAAAAUCGUGCGGUGCGUUGAUAUCUCUAUGUAAUCCCGACAUGUGGGCCUUUCUUCCUUAUUUCCUGAUAACCCCCUGCAGAAACAGAUAAACAACAAAACUCGUGGAAUUCUGUCAGAUCAAACCCUAAUUCUAGGUGUUGGUUGCAUAUUGGUCCUUUCUCUUAUUUAUUUGAUAAUUAAAAUUGAUACUUAAGAACCGUCAACAAAUACCUCCAUACUUAGGCUUUUACUCGUCCUCGAGAAAAGGAUGGUUAAAAAUAUCUGUGGUAAACAUUUAGAACAUUCUCUUUAUAAUCGCAGGGUGUUAAAAAUCACUGUGUACUAUAGUCAGGGAAGUAUAUGGUUAAGAGUAAAGAUCCUUUCUUCUCAAUCUUGUCACUUGGAGUUUUUUUGUAUAUUUUUGAAAGAAAGUUAGCAUACCUUUUUCCUCAUAGGUUCUUCUCAGAUCACUCAUUAUCUUUUAUAUAUAUCUCACUGAGGUUGUUUUAAUUUGCAAAAAUUCUCAAGCAUACUUACUUUGCAUUUAUUGCCUGAUCAAAAUGGGAUCCGAGGAGGGGAAUGUAAUACUCUUAGAUCAAAGACUUUGGAACUUAAAAUCUUUGUCAACUCUUGCUGGCAUAUUGCUUAUUAGAGGGACCAUGGGCUAUCAUUUUCUUCUCUUUUUUUUCUCUCCUUUCUCUUUUUUUAAGUGGAUACCGAGGUAUCCCUAAUUCUACUGUCGGACAUUUAUCCAUUUUUUUCUGCGAGGUUAUCGAGCACUUGCUCCUUUUUAUUUCCUCGAAAAUAUCUUUAUUUUUGCAUAGCCCAUGCCUCUAAUGCAAUAAUACUUCGGAAGAGUAAAUCUUUCUGAAUAAAUGUCUUGAUCUUAGGAGCAUGAUAAAUCUCUCAACAAGGGUCUAACUCAUUUUGAACAAACUCAAUACAGAGUAGAUAGCUUUUACAAUCAUAAUUAAUAUUUUCAGUUUUAACAGGCAUAUAAAACACUGAGGAUGGCAGCUAGAAGUUUGAAGAUUUUGAAAUAAAUUCUCCAAGUAACAAUGAUAUCAAGAAUAAGAAACUCAUACUCUACCAUCUCACAUUCCAUACUGUCUUAAGUAACACAGAGUUUUAAAAUGAUUUUAUAAUAAUAGUUGCAAGUUUUCAGGAAAUAUCACAGAGUGAGAUUAAUCAUGAUUAGAAACAUUUUAAUCUUUAUCAUGUCGGAAACAAUAUUCUGCAUAAUCCAAGAUAUGUGUAUGUGUAAAGUAAAGUGUGCAGAGUGUGUACCUGAAUCGUGGAGUGGUGUAGUCGGAGUGUGUUUGGCAUGUUGAGGGAUCUCCCCCAUACUUGUUUUCUGCUUUCUUGCACAAAAAUAAAGUAGAGACACACAAGACAUAAUAAUAAUACUCUUUAUUAACUUUGAGGCAUUUAUUACAAAAGACUAGUAGUAAACUGAUAGCAAACUAAUGAUAAUAGUAAACUUAAACCUUAUUUAAAGAUAGAUAACUAAGAUGCAUUGCCUCAAGGUCUAAUCUAGAUAACUUAGCGGCGCUCUAAUUCCUUAAUCUUCUUGUUGGCAUUGGCGAGAUCCUGCCUAAGGCCUAGUAUAAUGCUGUCUAGUCUGCGAACAUCCUCAUCAAUAUCCAUUAUAGUCUUGCGACACUUGGGAGGUGUCUCAAAAGCAUUGAGAGCGUGCUUCGGGCCUGAGGGAUGAAACGGACUUUGGCUGCUCUAAUCCCUUCAAAGUAAGGCCUUUCCUCCUCCGUAGUGU
This 2138-nucleotide long non-coding RNA is filed under the name Sorghum bicolor (sorghum). Its description in RNAcentral is "long non-coding RNA (SBIC_LNC007971)". The record is from RNAcentral. Lineage: Eukaryota; Viridiplantae; Streptophyta; Magnoliopsida; Poales; Poaceae.